This 9728-nucleotide long non-coding RNA is filed under the name Homo sapiens (human). RNAcentral's name for it is "HSALNT0331369". The record is from RNAcentral. Lineage: Eukaryota; Metazoa; Chordata; Mammalia; Primates; Hominidae.
GGUGGGGGCGGGCGGGCAUCGCCUUUGCCUUAGGUGGGGGAGAUUUUUCUCCCUCUUCACCGCCUCGCCUUCCCUCUGUUUCGAAAGGUUCGGGAAAGUCCAAGUCAUAACAUAAAAAGUGUGCGUAUUCCCGGCCGCCGGCAGGACCUGUUCGCGGGGAAGUUCCUCUUGAACUUUCUCCGAGGACAGUUGUGCACCCUGCCCGGCGCUUCACGGGGUUCCCUGGCCGUCGUUGUCUUUGUGACACCAUUUCCUCUUUUAAAUUUUCAUUUCAUGGUCUAUAUUUUCCACUUCGUCAUUUUUCUGUAGCACUCAUUAGAACAAGCCCCGAAAGGGCGACUAAGGAAACGCACAGGCGAGGCAGGAAAGCAGGAAUUUUUUUUUUUUUUUAAUCUAAUGACUAUGACGGCUUGGCAAGAAAGAGUGCACGAUAGUGGACUGGAAAUCAGAGGUGGCUUCUCCUAUUGAUUAGUUAAGUGGGAUAACAAAAACCGACCUCAUUAUUAAAUAAGAUUUGCAGUAAGGACCACAUGGCAGAUGUUAGCGAUUGUGACUACUAUCUCUGGUAUCCAACUGUGUGGCCUGGGUAAGUCACUAUACACUCAGUCUGUUUCUUCACUUGGAAAAGAAAGGAAUUUGAGUAAGUACAAAGGAAAAUUUUGGCCGGGCGCGGUGGCUCACGCCUGUAAUCCCAGCACUUCGGAAGGCCCAGGCGGGCCUUUAGUAGGACGAAACCCCGUCUCUACUAAAAUACCAAAACAACAACAACAACAACAACAAAAAACCAGCCAGAUGUCGUGGCGGGACAGCUCUACUCCUAGCUCCUUGGGGGGCUGAGAGUGGGAGGAUCGCUUGAGCCCGGGAGGUCGAUCCCACAGUGAGCGGAGAUCAUGGCCACUGCACUCCAGGCUGGGCGACAAAGUGAGACCCUGUCUCAGAAAAAACACUAAAAUUUACUAGCACUUAACACUUUGCAAAGUGAGGCAACAUGAGCCACACCAAACCAGCAGAGCUGUUUUGAUUCCCAGAAUGUUUACAAAUCUUAAAACUUGUUGCCAAUAUUUAGAAAUCAAAAGAUUUCACAUAAGAAUCUGGAUUUUAGCUUUCUCUGGAAUCACUGGAAUAUUUGGUAACUCAUGGCAUAUUCCCAGAUGGCAACAAACUGUUGGGAAUAAACUGUGCUGCCCCUUUAGACGCCCAGCUGCUCCCUGGACCUGUCUUGGUCCAGCCCACUUCACUAGGUUGCAUGAUAUGUCUGGUCCCUGAAAGGCCAGUUCUCAGUGAAGGGAUACCACUUCAUCUAGGAGUGUUUUGGGAAUUUGUGGAGUUGGUGUUUGAGUUGUGUAAUGACUGAGGGCAUACUACCAGUCUUUUUUGUUUGUUUGUUUUCGUACGGAGUCUCGCUCAGUCGCCCAGGCUGGAGUGCAGUGGCGCGAUCUCGGUUCACUGCAAGCUCCACCUCCCGGGUUCACGCCAUUCUCCUGCCUCAGCCUCCCGAGUAGCUGGGACUACAGGUGCCCGCCACCACGCCCGGCUAAUUUUUUUUUUUUUUUGUAUUUUUAGUAGAAACGGGGUUUCACCGUGUUAGCCAGGAUGGUCUUGAUCUCCUGACCUCGUGAUCCGCCAGCCUCGGCCUCCCAAAGUGCUGGGAUUAGAGGCGUGAGCCACCACGCCCGGCCUGGUCUUGUUUGUUUGUUUGUUUUUGAGGCCAAGUCCUGCUCUGUCACCAAGCUGGAGUGCAGUGGCGCAAUCUCGGCUCACUGUAACCUCUGCCUACCGGGUUCAAGCGAUUUUCCUGCCUCAGCCUCCCAAGUAGCUGGGACUGCAGGGGCGUGGCGCCACACUUGGCUAAUUUUUGUACUUUUAGUAGAGACGGGGUUUCACCAUGUUCGCCAGGAUAGUCUCGAUCUCUCGACCUCGUGAUUCCCCCGCCUCGGCCUCUCAAAGUGUUGAGAUUACAGGCGUGAGCCACUGAGCCCGGCCCUACUAGUCUUUACUGGAUGCAUAGACAGGGAUGAAGAUAGUCUAGAAUAACAGCAUUGUCCCGAAUCCUUCAUGACUUUCCAAUGCUACUGGACAUUUAUGUAGGUGAAAAGUUUGUUUAUAAUGAUCAGGGCGUGGAACCGAAUUCCAUUUUGUAUAAAAACAUUAACUCUUUUUUGGGGGAACAGUUUCAACAUUUAUCAGGCAAGGUUAUUCUUCAGUAACAACCCCCAAAUCUCAAUGGCUUAACCUAAAAGCUGGUUUCUCAUCAUGCUACAUGUCAAUGUAGAUGGGGUGAGUACUCUGCCCAACUCAUUGUAGUCUCUCAGGACCCAGCCUGUUGGGAGUUUUGCAUAAAUAUUACAUGCUCCAGUCCUGCAUGACAAAGGUCACUUAUGCACAUUUCAUUGGUGAAAGCAAAUCACAUGGCCACGUUUAAUUUCUAGGGAGUUGGGAAGUUCAGACCUAUUUCUGUCUGGGAAAACCACAACUGGGAAUCUUUGUGAGCAGUGUAAUGACUACCAUAAGUGUACCCUAAAUUUUCCUGGAACGUAGCUAAAUUGAUUUGUUCAGAAUUACACGUGCAAAUGUCUAUGUUAUUUCAGUGGUAGUUGUGCCUCGUUUACAUAUUGAAAUAUAUCUCAUUUUAUAGUGCUUCGCUUUAUUGCUUUUUUAACAAAUUAAAGUUUUUGGCAGCCGGGCACGGUGGCUCACGCCUGUAAUCCCAGCACUCUGGGAGGCACAGGUGGGUGGAUCACCUGAGAUCAGGAGUUCGUGACCAGCGUGGCCGACAUGGCGAAACCCCGUCUCUACUAAAAACACAAAAAUUAGCCAGGCGUGGUGGUGGGAGCCUAUAAUCCCAGCUACUCUGGAGGCUGAGGCAGGAGAAUCGCUUGAACCUGGGAGGCAGAGGUUGCAGUGAGCCGAGAUCGAACCACUGCACUCCAGCCUGGGCGACAAGUGCAAAAAAAACUGCGUCUCAAAAAAAGAAAAAGUUGCUGUUGGCAACCCAACAGCACGUGCUUAUUUUGUGCCUCUGUUUCACAUUUUCGUAAUUCUCAAAAUAUUCUAAACUUUUAAACUACCCUUACAUCUGUUAUAUGAUUUGUGAUCUGUGAUCUUUGGUGUUACUAUUAUUAAUUGUUUUGGGGCACCACAAACUGCACCCAUAUAAGAUGGUAAACUUAAUUGAUAAAUGUUGUAUGUGUUCUUACUGCUCCACCAACCACGUGUUUCCUUCUCCCUUACCCUCUCCUCGGGCCUCCCUGUGCCCUGAGACACAAUAUUGAAAUUAGGCCAAUUAGGCCGUGGCUCAAACCUGUAAUCCCUGCACUUUGGGAGUCUAAGGUGGGCAGAUCACUUGCGAUCAGGAGUUCCAGGCCAACAUGGUGAAACCCUGUCUCUACUAAAAAUACAAAAUUAGCUGGGUGUGGUGGCAGGCACCUGUAAUACCAGCUACUGGGGAGGCUGAGGCACGAGAAUUGCUUGAACCUGGGAGGCGGAGGUUGCAGUGAGCUAAGAUUGCAUCACUGCACUCCAGCCUGGGCGAUAGAGUGAAACUCCAUCUCCAACCAAAAAAAAGAAAAGAAAAAGGAAAAGAAAUUAGGCCAAUUAAUAACCGUACAAUGGCCUCUGAGUGUUCAGGUAAAAGGAAGAGUUGCAUGUCUCUCUCUUUAUAUCAAAAGCUAGAAAUGAUUAAGCUUAAUGAGGUAGGCACGUCAAAAGCCGUGAUGGGCCAAAAGCUUGGCCUCUUGCACACAGUUAGCCAAGUUGUGAAUGCAAAGGAAAAGUUCUUGCUGGAAAUUAAAAGUGCUACUCUGGCCAGGUGUGGUGGCUCAUGCUUGUAAUCCCAGCACUUUGGAAUGCUGAGGCGGCCGAUCACAUGAGGCCAGGAGUUUGAGACCAGCCUGGCCAACAUGGUGAAAACCUGCCUUUACUAAAAAUACAAAAAUUAGCCAGGUGCAGUGCUGCGCCUGUAUUCUCAGCUGCUUGGAAGGCUGAGGCAUGAGAAUCGCUUGAACCAAGAAGCAGAGGUUGCAGUGAGCCAAGAUCAGGCCACUGCACUCCAGCCUGGGCAACAGAGCAAGACUCUGUCUCAAAAAAAAAAAAAAAAGUGAAACAGCCUUAUUUCUGAUAAGGAAAAAGUUUUGGUGGUCUGGAUAGAAGAUUAAAUCAACCACAACAUUCCCCUAAGUGAAAACGUAAUCCAGACCAAGGCCCUCAACAUCAAGGCAACACCCUCCACUGGCAAAAAGAUUAUGAUUCACUGAAGGCUCAGAUGGCCUUUAGCAUUUAAAAUUUUUUUUUUAAUUUUUAAUUUUUUUUUGCGAUGGAGUCUCGCUCUGUCACCAGGCUGGAGUGCAGUGGUGCCAUCUCUGCUCACUGCAGUCUCUGCAUCUUGGGUUCAAGUGAUUCUCCUGCCUCAACCUCCUAAGUAGCUGGGAUUAUAGGCGUGCGCCUCCAUGCCCAGCUAAUUUUUUGUAUUUUUGGUAGAGACAGGGUUUCACCAUGUUUGCCAGGAUGGUCUCGAUCUCCUGACCUCGUGAUCCGCCCACCUCAGCCUUCCAAAGUGCUGGGAUUACAGGAGUGAGCCACUGCGCCCGGCCAGCAUUUUUUAGUUAUAUAUAUAUAUUUUGAGACAGAGUCUUGCUGGGUUGCCCGAGCUGGAGUGCAGUGGUGCGAUCUCGGCUCACUGCAAACUGUGCCUCUUAGGCUCAAGUGAUUCCCCUGCCUUAGCCUUCUGAGUACCUGGGAUUACAGGUGUGCACCACCAUGUCCAGCUAAUUUUUGUAGUUUUAGUAGAGACGGUUUUUUUCCAUGUUGCUCAGGCUGGUCCUGAACUCCUGGACUCAAGCGAUCUGCCCGCCUCAACCUCCCAGAGUGCUAGUAUUACAGGCGGGCGUGAGCCACCGCACCUCGCUGUAAACCAUCUUUUUUUUUGAGACGGAGUCUUGCUGUCGCCCAGCCUGGAGUGCAAUAGUGCAAUCUCAGCUCACUGCAACCUCCGCCUCCUGGUUCAAGCGAUUCUCCACCCUCAGCCCGUAAACUGAGACUACAGGCACCUGCCGCCACACUCGGAAUUUUUUUAUUUUUAGUAGACACAGGGUUUUACCAUGUUGGCCAGGCUACUCUCUAACUCCUGACCUCAAGUGAUCUGUCCACCUCGGCCUCCCAAAGUGCUAGGAUUACAGGUGUCAGCCACCACGCCCAGCCAGUGAAAUCAUUUUCUGAACGAUGCUAUAUGAAGUUUUCUUGCCAAAAAUGUUUGCCUAGGCUGGGCACGGUGGCUCACGCCUAUAGUGUCAGCACUUUGGGAGGUUGUAGCGGACGGAUUUCUUUGAUUCAGGAGUAGAGACUAGCCUGGGCAACAUGGUGAAAACCUAUCUCUACAAAACACAAAAAUUAGCCAGGCGUGGUGGCUGGCACCUGUGAUCCCAGCUACUUGGGAGGCUGAGGCUGGAGGAUCGCUUGAGUCUGGGAAGUGGAGGUUGAAGUGAGCCAAGGUCGUGCCACUGCACUCCAGCCUGAGCAACAGAGCAAGACUCUGUCUCAAAAAAAAAAAAAAAAUUAAGUCUGAGGUAUGAUCAUGAAAAGCAAAAUGGUAAAAAAAAAAAAAAGUUUGCUUAAAAACACAUCAGGUAUCUGGAGCAGCACUGUCCAACAAAACCUUCUGAGGUGAUGGGAAUGUUUUUCAUUUGCACUGUCCAGUAAGAUAGCCAGUGGCCACAAGCAGCUACUGAGCACUUGACAUGUGGUUUGCAUGACUGAGGAGCUGAAUUUUACUUCAGUUCAAUUAAUUUAAAUUUAUAUGUGCCUGGUGACUACUGUACUGGCCAGCACAGCUUGAGAUCUAGCUUCCAGUUUGCAGAAAACGUAGAGGAGAAAGGAGGAAGUGAAAACAGCACCUGUUGUAAACCCCAAGAGACAACCCUGAUGAGAUCAGAGCAAUCUGCUGGGAAAGACAUUUUUUAAUUGGGGAACUUUGAAUAUGGGCUAGAUACUAGGUGAUAUUAUGGAAUUACUGUAAAUUCUGUUAGAUGUGAUAAUGGAUUGUGCUUGCAUAGGAAAAUUCCCUUCUUUUUAGGAGCUGCAUUAGUCUCUUAAGUAGCAGCAUGUCAGGAUGUCUAGACCUCACCUUAAAAUACUUCCAAAAAAUAAAAUAGAUGAUGCAAAAAUGGCAAAUUGUUGAAAACUUUUAAAUUUAGGUAAUGAGUAUAAAAGAGUUAUAUUCUGUUUACUUCUCUGAAUGUCUCAGUUUUCAUAAUAAAAAGUAAAAUGGGCCGGGCGCGGUGGCUCACACCUGUAAUCCCAGCACUUUGGGAGGCUGAGGCGGGCGGAUCAUGAGGUCAGGAGAUCGAGACCAUCCUGGAUAACACGGUGAAACCCCGUCUCUACUAAAAAUACAAAAAAAUAGCCGGGCAUGGCGGCAGGCGCCUGUAAUCCCAGCUACUCGGGAGGCUGAGGCAGGAGAAUGGUGUGAACCCGGGAGGCGGACCUUGCAGUGAGCCGAGAUCGUGCCACUGCACUCCAGCCUGGGUGACAGAGCGAGACUCCGUCUCAAAAAAAAAAAAAAAAGUAAAAAUGAUGGGCUGGGUACAGUGGCCUACGCCUAUUAUCCCAGCACUUUGGGAGGCCGAGGCAGGUGGAUCACGAGGUCAGGAGUUUGAGACCAGCCUGGCCAACAUGGUGAAACCCUGUCUCAAUUAAAAAUACGAAACUUAGCUGGGCAUGGUGGCUCACACCUGUAGUCCCAGCUUCUCAGGAGGCUGAGGCAGGAGAAUUGCUUGAGCCCAGGAGGCAGAGGUUGCAGUAAGCCAAGAUCGCACCACUGCACUCUCCAGACUGGGCGACAGAGCAAGACUUUCAUCUCAAAAAAAAAAAAAAAAAAAAAAAGGCCAGGCGCGGUGGUUCACGCCUGUAAUCCCAGCACUUUGCGAGGCCGAGGCGGCAGAUCAUGAGGUCAGGAGAUCGAGACCAUCCUGGCUAAUACAGUGAAACCCCGUCUUUACUAAAAAUACAAAAAGUUAGCCGGAUGUGGUGGCGGGCGCCUGUAGUCCCAGCUACUCCGGAGAGGCUGAGGCAGGAGAAUGUUGUGAACCCUGGAGGCGGAGCUUGCAGUGAGCCGUGAUGGCACCACUGCACUCCAGCCUGGGCAAGAGUGGGAGACUCCAUCGCAAAAAAACAAAAAGUAAAAAGAUGUAUAAAAAAGUGAGUCCAUAUGAAACAAGAAUCAAUGUUUCAUAAAUGGUGAAAAGCCCCUACAAAAACCUUGACUGAGAUUUUAUUUUGGAUAAUAAAAACAAAAAUUAUGAAAAUAAGUUUAUCUUAUAUAUAACAAAAUUUAGAAUAUGUUUGCAACUGUGUGCUAGUUUUUAGAACGAAUCAAGAAUGAACAAGUGUUGACUUUUGUGCAUAAUUUUUCUGGAAAAUUACAUGAUUCAAGAUAUCAUUCAUUUUACAUCUGACUCACGGUAGAGUCAGAAAGAGAGUCUAAAAAUAUUUAGACUUCAUUUUCCUCUCAAAGUCCUCUUUAAUUCUUUGGUAGUCAAUUUUUUGGUGUCUCUAUUUUCAUUUUAUUUACAUCUCUUUGGAUUUAGCUAGUCCUCAGCUAAUUGACCAAAAGUGGUAAAGUAAUUAUCCCAUUCACCAUGUUAUUAGUCAUUCUGGAUUUUUUUUUUUUUCGAGAUGGAGUCUCACUCUGUCGCCCAGGCUGGGGUGCAGUGGCGCAAUCUCGGCUCACUGCAAGCUCCACCUCCUGGGUUCACGCCAGUCUCCUGCCUCAGCCUCCUGAGUAGCUGGGACUACAGGCGCCAGCCACCACGCCCGGCUAUUUUUUGUGUUUUUAGUAGAGACGGGGUUUUACUGUGUUAGCCAGGAUGGUCUUGAUCUCCUGAUGUCGUGAUCCACCUGUCUCAGCCUCCCAACGUGCUGGGAUUACAGGCGUGAGCCACCGCACCUGGCCCAUUCUGGAUAUUUUUAUGGGAUAUCUCAUAGAAAAAGCCAUUUUAUGAUAUUGCUGUUCCCUUUAUAUUUUGAGCCUAAGCUCACUCUUCACUUUAAUUCAUUUUAAAUUUAUUGCUUUUUUCAAACCAUUCUAUUUUGAAGCUCCUGGUGAGUCAUCAGCGUUAAUUUCCUUCUGUUCACUUGUUGAUUGGUCCAUAACUCUGCUGACCUCGCCUGUCGGUGGCUUUGUAUGCCACUCGAGUGGGGCUUUAAUGUCACUUGUUGAUUCUGUGAAAUCUUGCAUUGUGUGUAAGAUUCACAAUUUAACCGUCCAAAUGACUGGCAUCCUAGACAUCUGAGAACGAGUGAGAGGCUGGCUGGCCAUUGGUAUGGGACAUGGGGAUCGAUGCUUUGGGGUUCAGCAGGGAGUAAAUUUUGAAUAGGGAUCAGUUUUUAAGUGGUUAAUUCAUUAGUGAAUAUGUUAUCAUUACGAAUACCUUUGCUUCUCCAAAUGGUCUUGUAGCUGCAGGGACUUGGGGAAAGUAUCUUCAGAUAAAGAGGACCCUGUCUAUCUUGAGUUUGGAACAUCAGAGCUUUUUGUGGUGGUUGUAACUAAAUGGGGUGUAGGUGCUAUUGCUAGGAUAAAUCAGAACAUGGCAGUUAUUUUAUGAAAAUAAUCUUGUAUUUAUUAAAGGACUUGCAAAAAAGUUAACCUGAGGAUUUGUGUAAUGUGUCUCUAAGAGAGAGCUGUCAUUACGUUGGUGAAGUGACCAAUCCUUUCCCUGUUUGGCACCUCAUACCAGCCACAGGGUAGUAAGAAUCUCAAGUGCAGCUGAACUCCUGCUUUCAGAGGAAAUACCGGGAGACAGUAUGAAAAGAAAGGUGGGCUUUACGCCCCUUCCAGUGGCUUCUACAACAAAAGACUUCCUGAUUUGGUGACAUUUUUCCAUGACACGUCAUAUUGAUUUGUCUUGUUCUCCUCUCUGCCCCACACCAUUUUAUUAUAAACAAAUCUGAGGCUGGGCGAGGUGGCUCACGCCUGUAAUCCCAGUACUUUGGGAGCCGAGGCGGGCAGAUUACGAGGUCAGGAGUUCAAGACCAGCCUGACCAACAUGGUGAAACCCCGUCUCUACUAAAAAUACAAAAAUUAGCUGGGCCUGGUGGCGCGUGCCUGUAAUCCCAGCUACUCAGGAGGCUGAGGUAGGAGAAUCGCUUGAACCUGGAAGGUGGAGGUUGCAGUGAGCUGAGAUCGCACCAUUGCACUCCAGCCUGGGCGACAGAGUGAGACUCCAUCUCAAAAAAAAAAAAAAAAAAAAAAAAUUGAAGAUAAGCCGGGUGCGGUGGCUCAUGCCUGCAAUCUCAGCACUUUGGGAGGCCAAGAUGGGUGAAUCACUUCAAGUCAGGAGUUUGAGACCAGCCUGGCCAACAUGGUGAAACCCCAUCUCUACUAAAAAUACAAAAAUUAGCUGGGCGUGGUGGCGCAUGCCUGUAAUCCCAGCUACUAGAGGGGCUGAGGCACAAAAAUCGCUUGAACCCGGGAGGUGGAGGUUCCAGCGAGUCUAGAUUGUGCCACUGCACUCCAGCCUGGGCAACAGAGCGAGACUCUGUCUCAAAAAAAAAAAAGAAAAUUGAACAGAGAUUAUAACACUUUUACCAUAUCUAUCCAUUUAUCAUUCCUAAUUUCAUCUAUUACUCUUACUCUUUGGUGUAUUUCAAAGGAAAUUCCAGACCCUAAUAGUUUAAAAAGCUUUUUGUUAUUUCAAUCCUACAGAAGAGUUACGAGAAUAAUACCUUUCUGUAAG